Arabidopsis thaliana x Arabidopsis arenosa is the source of this 122-nucleotide non-coding RNA. NCBI's taxonomy places the organism in Eukaryota, Viridiplantae, Streptophyta, Magnoliopsida, Brassicales, Brassicaceae. The record is from the annotation of a GenBank genome assembly.
UUAACCCAUAUAACAAAUCAAUACAUCAAAUUAAAUGAGUUAUAGGUAAACCCAACCUAUUUAACAAAAUGAGUUGGGUCAACCCAUAACUCAUUUAACCUUAAACUCAUUUGAUUAUGAGU